This 75-nucleotide transfer RNA is filed under the name bacterium. RNAcentral describes it as "tRNA-Arg". It matches the Rfam family "tRNA". From Rfam's summary of the family: Transfer RNA (tRNA) molecules are approximately 80 nucleotides in length. Their secondary structure includes four short double-helical elements and three loops (D, anti-codon, and T loops). The record is from RNAcentral.
GCGCCCGUAGCUCAAUGGAUAGAGCAGAGGGUUUCUAACCCUCCGAUGUAGGUUCGAUCCCUGCCGGGCGUACCA